This 30-nucleotide non-coding RNA is filed under the name Homo sapiens (human). The record is from RNAcentral. Lineage: Eukaryota; Metazoa; Chordata; Mammalia; Primates; Hominidae.
UGUGAAAUGGUUGCUGGAUAAAACCACAGA